UACGGGGGGGGCAAGCGUUGUUCGGAAUUACUGGGCGUAAAGGGCUCGUAGGUGGCCAACUAAGUCAGACGUGAAAUCCCUCGGCUUAACCGGGGAACUGCGUCUGAUACUGGAUGGCUUGAGUUCGGGAGAGGGAUGCGGAAUUCCAGGUGUAGCGGUGAAAUGCGUAGAUAUCUGGAGGAACACCGGUGGCGAAAGCGACUCUCUGGACGGCAACUGACGCUGAGGCACGAAAGCGUGGGGAGCAAACAGG
RNAcentral lists this ribosomal RNA (253 nucleotides) under uncultured bacterium. RNAcentral describes it as "partial 16S ribosomal RNA". It matches the Rfam family "Bacterial small subunit ribosomal RNA", at positions 524 to 776 of the family's 1533-position model. The record is from RNAcentral.